CUUCUCAAAACCUGUGGCACAGUGGGGCGACACACCGUGAAUUGAUGAGAGUGUAAGUUGGUGUAUUUUUGUUUGUGUAUUUGCGACCCGACUAUCGAAGAGCCUUAGAUCUUAUUGGGCUAGUACCUUCUACUCUGAAGAGGAUCUGCUUUUGAGAUGAAAAUGGAUGCUUACUUUGGGCUGAAGAUACCUUUCGGCAUGCAAAUACACAGAUAGAAAUGAAGAUAUGUUAAGCACAAAAUGUAGUUAGAUGGUACUUUGAAUGGAAGAGGGGUCUGGAGGCAGGUGGUAUGGUCAGGUCAGGUGCAUACAAGUAAGGGCUUGCGGACAUGCAUGUGGU
Molecule: long non-coding RNA, 340 nt
Filed under: Drosophila guanche
Lineage: Eukaryota; Metazoa; Arthropoda; Insecta; Diptera; Drosophilidae
Source: RNAcentral